Molecule: ribosomal RNA, 769 nt
Filed under: Uncinaria sp. SAN-2011
Lineage: Eukaryota; Metazoa; Nematoda; Chromadorea; Rhabditida; Ancylostomatidae
Description: eukaryotic LSU rRNA
Rfam family: Eukaryotic large subunit ribosomal RNA
Source: RNAcentral
UUUGAUAGGGGCCACAUUCCAGAGAGGGUGCGAGACCUGUGCGGACAGUGGAGCAAKCUGUACGGCCAUAUCUUGGAGUCGGGUUGCUUGAAAGUGCAGCCUAAAGUGGGUGAUAAACUUCAUCUAAGGCUAAAUAUAGACGCGAAUUCGAUAGCAAACAAGUACUGUGAAGGAAAGUUGCAAAGAACUUUGAAGAGAGAGUUCAAGAGAACGUGAAAUCGCUGGAGUGGAACCGGAGAGAGUUGACGUAGUCGGGUAACUAAGUUUGCCAAAGUCGCUUAAUUGUGGCAGCGGCAGAUGUAUGUUGCCUAUGGCUGCGCUGACAGCGCUGGCUGUGCGUUCCGAACCGUUUGCGUUGCCCACUUCGGUGGUGUCUUGUCUGCGGGUAGGUUUGUCGUGGCUAGUGUUUUAUCCUGCUUGCAGGGUGUCAGUGUGAAAGUCGACCACCUCUCCGACCCGUCUUGAAACACGGACCGAGGAGUGUAACUUGUACGCGAGUCAAAGGGUGGAAAACCCCAUGGCGAAAUGAAAGUAAAGGUCGGUUAACCGGCUGACAUGGGAUCCGCCUUUCGAGACGGCGCACCAUGGCCCUGUCUCGUCUGCUUGCAGAUGGGCAGCGGUAGAGCGUACAGGUUGCGACCCGAAAGAUGGUGAACUAUGCCUGAGCAGGACGAAGUCAGAGGAAACUCUGAUGGAAGUCCGUAUCGGUUCUGACGUGCAAAUCGAUCGAUAGACUUGGGUAUAGGGGCGAAAGACUAAUCGAACCAUC